Molecule: long non-coding RNA, 432 nt
Filed under: Mustela putorius furo (domestic ferret)
Lineage: Eukaryota; Metazoa; Chordata; Mammalia; Carnivora; Mustelidae
Description: lncRNA (ENSMPUG00000027015.1)
Source: RNAcentral
AACCCCUUUCAAGAAACGCUCAGACUUUAAUAAUGUUAUGGUGGGUUUGAAGAUAAAAGAUACUGCGAAGUCAAUCAGGCUGAGGUGUUGCAGGAAAGGAUAUGUGGGAGUCAAGACACAAGCAUGAUGAAGAGUUUGAUGCCUUGUUUCAAACAUUGUCUGAUGGCACAUACUAUGUUCUUCUCGUUAAACCUCACACCGCUGCAAAAGUCUCAAUUUCUUCUGCCAAAGUUGUUUUAAUAGAGCCCAAAAUCUUCCAGAGAACCUGAAUUCCUUCUGUCUUCCUGAAUGUAUUCAUGAACCAGCACAUGGUUCUGUGCUGAGAGAGAAGAAAGCUAAACCCAGAAACCUAGUCCCCAAUGGUUUCCUAAAAUAAAUAAUUAUUAAUUGUAACACAAUAAUUUAAUUAGUUAAUUAAUUCUUAAAAUAAAU